Molecule: long non-coding RNA, 1133 nt
Organism: Hippoglossus stenolepis (Pacific halibut)
Lineage: Eukaryota; Metazoa; Chordata; Actinopteri; Pleuronectiformes; Pleuronectidae
Exons: 4
Source: RefSeq, a predicted model, not a curated record
UUUUCAUUCAUGACUUUAGAGAAACUCAGAUCUCAUCAUGAUGAUUAGAUUUCUCUUUUGCUCUUUCCUCACAGCAGGUAUUUCUCUGGGACUUCAGGUCCACCAGUCUCCCUCCGCUCUCAUCAGAAAGGCUGGUGACGCUGUGCAGCUCGUCUGUACCCACGGACAGACCGACUACACAGGGAUGCUGUGGUACCAGCAGUCACCCACAGACCAGGCUCUAAAACUCAUCGGAUAUGUGGCUUUACUUAAUUUUGCUGCCAAACCAACCAACCAGCUGACAGCAGUGAAAACAUAACCUCUUUUGUGGAGCAGAGACUGGAGCUGGUUCUUCAUAUUCAACAUGACGCCACCUCGUCUCAUCACAUCCAUCAUCACUGUGUUCUGGAUUAAGGGUGUUUACCUCAGUAAUGAAAAACCAGUGUUUCAGACUCCAGUCGACCUGUUGAUGAAACCAAAUGGUGAAGUCAACAUGAGAUUAACACAUCAAAUCCCGAACUAUAACACGAUUCUCUGGUACCAGCGCUCAGCAGGAGACAGUUCCCUGAAGCUGAUUGGCUAUGUUAAUUUUGAAUCACCCAGUAUUGAGCCAAAUUUUACGAGCCGCUUCAAUGUGAGUGGAAAUGGAAAGAAAACAGCUUUUCUUCAAAUCAAGAACCUGAAGCACCCUGAGGACAGCGGAGAAUAUUUUGGAGCAGCAACAAUACACAGUAAUAAAGAUGGAGAGAGCCGUCGUUCAAAAACCUCCAUAAAUGAUGCAGCAGAUAACAGCACGAAAAACCACGACACAGCUUCAAAGCUGAGAGAAACACAGCGGAUCAGACUCCAGAAAACACACAAGAAACAAUUAAGUUGUUUUGUUAAUACAUGUUCUUUAUAUUUGCUUGUAUUUGUUUUCUAAUAAAGUUUAUAAUUAUAUCAUUCGAAUAUAAUCGAAGUCCCCACGAAUGAGGUCAGACGAGGUUGAACACUUAACGUUGCUCCAAAGAGGAGAUAACAUGGAUAUAUGAGAGGAGAUGGAUUUGAAUGUGGUGGACAAAAAUAAAAGGAAUAUCUGUCAACAUAACAGAAUUCAGGUUAACAGCACCACCAACUACAAAGUUCUGACUUUUACAUCCUCCUCUAGGUGGCAC